RNAcentral lists this ribosomal RNA (374 nucleotides) under uncultured organism. RNAcentral describes it as "bacterial SSU rRNA". It matches the Rfam family "Bacterial small subunit ribosomal RNA", at positions 526 to 896 of the family's 1533-position model. The record is from RNAcentral.
CGUAGGGUGCGAGCGUUAAUCGGAAUUACUGGGCGUAAAGCGUGCGCAGGCGGUUUUGUAAGACAGGCGUGAAAUCCCCGGGCUCAACCUGGGAACUGCGCUUGUGACUGCAAGGCUAGAGUACGGCAGAGGGGGGUGGAAUUCCACGUGUAGCAGUGAAAUGCGUAGAGAUGUGGAGGAACACCAAUGGCGAAGGCAGCCCCCUGGGUCGAUACUGACGCUCAUGCACGAAAGCGUGGGUAGCAAACAGGAUUAGAUACCCUGGUAGUCCACGCCCUAAACGAUGUCAACUAGGUGUUGGGUGGGUAAAACCAUUUAGUACCGGAGCUAACGCGUGAAGUUGACCGCCGUGGGGAGUACGGCCGCAAAGGUUA